This 250-nucleotide unclassified non-coding RNA is filed under the name Rhizophagus sp. (in: glomeromycetes). RNAcentral describes it as "partial contains 5.8S ribosomal RNA and internal transcribed spacer 2". The stretch from base 1 to 65 matches the Rfam family "5.8S ribosomal RNA", at positions 84 to 154 of the family's 154-position model. Lineage: Eukaryota; Fungi; Glomeromycota; Glomeromycetes; Glomerales; Glomeraceae. The record is from RNAcentral.
GUGAAUCAUCGAAUUUUUGAACGCAAAUUGCACUCUCUUCGGAGAGUAUGCCUGUUUGAGGGUCAGUAUUAAUAAAAAUCGGUGUGUUGCUUCUUUGUGACGCUUCGGAGUUUGGGUCAUCUUAACAUCCUUUAGGUUUUAAGAGGCUUAAAAUUGACUUUUUUUUGCGCAUUUUAUUAGAUGUACAUAAAUUUUUUUUUUAUUUCUCUUGUUUUAUUCUCAAAAACCUAUUUAAAUCAAACAAUAUAUG